Molecule: ribosomal RNA, 468 nt
Filed under: uncultured bacterium
Lineage: Bacteria
Description: partial 16S ribosomal RNA
Rfam family: Bacterial small subunit ribosomal RNA
Source: RNAcentral
GACGAACGCUGGCGGCGUGCUUAACACAUGCAAGUCGAACGGAAAGGCCCUGCUUUUGUGGGGUGCUCGAGUGGCGAACGGGUGAGUAACACGUGAGUAACCUGCCCUUGACUUUGGGAUAACUUCAGGAAACUGGGGCUAAUACCGGAUAGGAGCUCCUGCUGCAUGGGGGGGGUUGGAAAGUUUCGGCGGUUGGGGAUGGACUCGCGGCGUAUCAGCUUGUUGGUGGAGUAGUGGCUUACCAAGGCUUUGACGGGUAGCCGGCCUGAGAGGGUGACCGGCCACAUUGGGACUGAGGUACGGCCCAGACUCCUACGGGAGGCAGCAGUGGGGAAUAUUGCACAAUGGGCGGAAGCCUGAUGCAGCAACGCCGCGUGCGGGAUGACGGCCUUCGGGUUGUAAACCGCUUUCGCCUGUGACGAAGCGUGAGUGACGGUAAUGGGUAAAGAAGCACCGGCUAACUACGUG